Alosa sapidissima (American shad) is the source of this 112-nucleotide long non-coding RNA. RefSeq lists it as uncharacterized. NCBI's taxonomy places the organism in Eukaryota, Metazoa, Chordata, Actinopteri, Clupeiformes, Clupeidae. The transcript has 2 exons. The record is from RefSeq and is a predicted model, not a curated record.
AAUACAGUGUGCAUACAGUGACCAUAAAAAGAGGUGUGCCCGAUGAGUCCCAUGUAGGAUAACAAUUCUGCAUUGGUUUGGAGUCACUAGGUCACAUGGCUUGGGAGGUAUU